Non-coding RNA from Pelobates cultripes (western spadefoot toad), 220 nucleotides. The record is from the annotation of a GenBank genome assembly. Lineage: Eukaryota; Metazoa; Chordata; Amphibia; Anura; Pelobatidae.
UGUAAAUAAAUCCCAAUUAUUUUUGCCUAACUCAGGUGAAGUUUGUGAGCUUUAAAGUUUGGGAUCAGGGCUCAGAAUAUAGAAAAUCACCUUAGUGGGAAGGUUAAGGCUUGCAAUGCCAAAGUAAUGUUAAAAUCUGACUAGAAGCAUGUGUGACGAGACCAAUCUCGCCACAUUGCAUUGGAGAAGCCUGGUUGCUCACCUGCUGCCUUUGGACUAU